Molecule: ribosomal RNA, 551 nt
Filed under: uncultured bacterium
Lineage: Bacteria
Description: bacterial SSU rRNA
Rfam family: Bacterial small subunit ribosomal RNA
Source: RNAcentral
GGGGUAACGGCCCACCAAGGCGACGAUGCGUAGGGGUUCUGAGAGGAAGGUCCCCCACACUGGUACUGAGACACGGACCAGACUCCUACGGGAGGCAGCAGUGAGGAAUAUUGGUCAAUGGCCGCAGGGCUGAACCAGCCAAGUCGCGUGAGGGAUGACGGUCCUAUGGAUUGUAAACCUCUUUUGUCAGGGAGCAAAGGGCGCCACGUGUGGCGCUUUGCGAGUACCUGAAGAAAAAGCAUCGGCUAACUCCGUGCCAGCAGCCGCGGUAAUACGGAGGAUGCGAGCGUUAUCCGGAUUUAUUGGGUUUAAAGGGUGCGCAGGCGGAAUGUCAAGUCAGCGGUAAAAUUUCGGGGCUCAACCCCGUCGUGCCGUUGAAACUGGCGUUCUUGAGUGAGCGAGAAGUAUGCGGAAUGCGUGGUGUAGCGGUGAAAUGCAUAGAUAUCACGCAGAACUCCGAUUGCGAAGGCAGCAUACCGGCGCUCAACUGACGCUCAUGCACGAAAGCGUGGGUAUCGAACAGGAUUAGAUACCCUGGUAGUCCACGCAGU